UGAAACAGCAUACCGCAUGACAGGGAAGGC
Molecule: non-coding RNA, 30 nt
Filed under: Rattus norvegicus (Norway rat)
Lineage: Eukaryota; Metazoa; Chordata; Mammalia; Rodentia; Muridae
Source: RNAcentral